This 104-nucleotide small nucleolar RNA is filed under the name Erinaceus europaeus (western European hedgehog). RNAcentral's name for it is "Small nucleolar RNA U3". It matches the Rfam family "Small nucleolar RNA U3". From Rfam's summary of the family: Small nucleolar RNAs (snoRNAs) are involved in the processing and modification of rRNA in the nucleolus. There are two main classes of snoRNAs: the box C/D class, and the box H/ACA class. Lineage: Eukaryota; Metazoa; Chordata; Mammalia; Eulipotyphla; Erinaceidae. The record is from Rfam by way of RNAcentral.
AAGACUAUACUUUCAGGGAUCAUUUCUAUAGUAUGAUACUAGAGGAUAUAUCCCCAGGAGAGGAAUUGCAGGGUCAUAGGGUAGGUCCAUUUCUAGCCUUCUGA